RNAcentral lists this ribosomal RNA (528 nucleotides) under Triticum aestivum (bread wheat). RNAcentral describes it as "partial small subunit ribosomal RNA". The record is from RNAcentral. Lineage: Eukaryota; Viridiplantae; Streptophyta; Magnoliopsida; Poales; Poaceae.
AUGCACUCAAUUUUUCUAAGAAUUGUAUGUGCAAGCACAACCCCCAUGUUUCGCUACGAAGAAAGUGCUAGAUGCCCUGUCCACCAAAACAACGAACCCAAAACACCCGACUGCACGGCACGACAACAUCGAAACGUUGCCACCCAAUGUCAGGGAGGCGUUGCAACGGGAGAAAGAAUAUCCUUGAACCCACAUACAGAGUUGCUUCUCUCUGGUUGCCGCACCUCUUCGAACGCAAAUCAGCAGCGGCCUGCAGUCAUGCUAUUUCAUUCAGAUCUGAACAGAGGGAGUAGAUCAUUGUCGUGUCUUGGUAACCAUCAUGAUGUACAACCUCGGAGAUGUCAGCCAACACCACCAGCGUCCAUUGAAAACCUGCUAUUCCUGAUCCUUCUUCCUUGGACUUCAGUUUGGAAUAUUGACGGCCUAACCAAUCAGAAGCAUUUUAAUUCAUCUCAUCAAUCAUCUUAUGUUCUAGCUCAGAGCGCCCAACCUUUUCAUGUCACUGAUCAGUGGACGGUAGAUAUAUAA